This is a non-coding RNA of Paramuricea clavata, 243 nucleotides long. NCBI's taxonomy places the organism in Eukaryota, Metazoa, Cnidaria, Anthozoa, Malacalcyonacea, Plexauridae. The record is from the annotation of a GenBank genome assembly.
UUAGUACCAACUUCCAAAAUUACAAUGGCAGGCCGAAAUGAACGAACUUUAUCUAAAUCGAACGCGAUCAACUUGUCUACUGUGCGUCCCUCAAUUCCAUGCAAUUUGACGGAAGCCCUUUUUAUAUCAAAUCUAAUGGCCGCACGGACAUCGAAAUUAGAGCGCAAAUCGCGAUGGAGACGUUUGACAAACGACAUGGGCGUGACAAUUCCAUAAUACCCAAAUUAAAAGUAUCAAAAUAUA